AAAUAAGAAAAUACAACAAAAAUUUCUAAAAUGAAGUCAGUAUAAAUUGUUGUUUUGCUUCUCUGUGGGAUAUUAUCACUCAUAAUCUUUUUAACAUUUAACAUAGUACAUUAAAAUGAAAUGGUUUCAGGUCAUACUGAUAAACCCAAGUAGUCCACAUUAAAAUUGUUUCUUUCUAGCAGAUGAGUGACUUACAGAAAAUGACACCACUGUAAUGUGAGACAAGUUGGAAACAGAAAAAAUGGAGGAUUUCAAAUAACUACUCACCUUUUGAAGCCGUGUCUUCAUUUGUCUUUACUUCUUAACAAAAUAGCACUGUUAACACUGAAAUAACAAUGGGAGCAGCUGAAGGUGAACCCGUGAGAAAGGAAUAAGUUAGGGGAGAGCCAAUAUUCUACUAUCUUCCCUUUCCCUAAUCCAUGUAUUUGAAUGGUGGGAAUUAUUAACAGCAGUUUUACAUACCUGCAAAAUGUUUUCUUGCCUUGUUCUGAUGACAUCAAGCUAUGGGUCCAGCCUGAUGAGAAUUUUCCUUGAACUGCUCUGCUAUCUGCCAAGAAUCCCUAGUGUGGGUCCUCUUCUGCUUCUCCAUCAGUACUUUGGAAGCUGUGUGUAUGUACUGUUAAGAUUUUUGCAGACUGAGGAAUAUACACAAGAGAAGAAAAACAGUUUAAAAUCUUAGAAGACAUGACUGAAAUAUCACGAGAUUUUAAAGGACAGGACUCGGGCAAAAAGUACAGG
RNAcentral lists this long non-coding RNA (738 nucleotides) under Crocodylus porosus (Australian saltwater crocodile). Its description in RNAcentral is "lncRNA (ENSCPRG00005006753.1)". The record is from RNAcentral. Lineage: Eukaryota; Metazoa; Chordata; Crocodylia; Crocodylidae.